RNAcentral lists this ribosomal RNA (485 nucleotides) under Blastocystis sp. subtype 3. Its description in RNAcentral is "bacterial SSU rRNA". It matches the Rfam family "Eukaryotic small subunit ribosomal RNA", at positions 458 to 954 of the family's 1831-position model. The record is from RNAcentral. Lineage: Eukaryota; Bigyra; Opalinata; Blastocystidae.
UUGGAGGUAGUGACAAUAAAUCACAAUGCGGAACAAUGUUUUGCAAUUGGAUUGAGAACAACGUACAAACCUUAUCGAUAAACAAUUGGAGGGCAAGUCUGGUGCCAGCAGCCGCGGUAAUUCCAGCUCCAAUAGCGUAUAUUAACGUUGUUGCAGUUAAAAAGCUCGUAGUUGAAAUGAAGGGUAGUUGUGUAAUGAAUACAUUCGUGUAUUUUGUUAUUCAACUACCCUCCUUCUAAAUUCGAUAUAUGAGUAUUAAUUUACUUGUAUAUGGUUUUAGACUUUUACUGUGAGAAAAUUAGAGUGUUCAAAGCAGGCAUUUGCUUGAAUAUAUUAGCAUGGAAUAAUCAUGUAUGAUUUUCAUGAUGUAUUUGAUUGGUUUGGUUCAUGAGAAUAAGAUUAAAAGGGACAGUUGGGGGUAUUCAUAUUCAAUAGUCAGAGGUGAAAUUCUCGGAUUUAUGGAAGAUGAACAAGUGCGAAAGCAA